Molecule: ribosomal RNA, 206 nt
Filed under: uncultured bacterium
Lineage: Bacteria
Description: partial 16S ribosomal RNA
Rfam family: Bacterial small subunit ribosomal RNA
Source: RNAcentral
AGCGUAGGCGGACAUUUAAGUCAGGGGUGAAAUCCCGGGGCUCAACCUCGGAAUUGCCUUUGAUACUGGGUGUCUUGAGUAUGAGAGAGGUGUGUGGAACUCCGAGUGUAGAGGUGAAAUUCGUAGAUAUUCGGAAGAACACCAGUGCGAAGGCGACACACUGGCUCAUUACUGACGCUGAGGCUCGAAAGCGUGGGGAGCAAACA